RNAcentral lists this ribosomal RNA (484 nucleotides) under uncultured bacterium. RNAcentral's name for it is "partial 16S ribosomal RNA". It matches the Rfam family "Bacterial small subunit ribosomal RNA", at positions 30 to 507 of the family's 1533-position model. The record is from RNAcentral.
UGAACGCUGGCGGCAUGCUUUACACAUGCAAGUCGAGCGGCAGCGCGGGGGCAACCCUGGCGGCGAGCGGCGAACGGGUGAGUAAUGCAUCGGAACGUAUCCUCGAGUGGGGGAUAACCCAGCGAAAGUUGGGCUAAUACCGCAUGAGCUCUGAGGAGGAAAGCGGGGGACCUGCGAGGGCCUCGCGCUGGAGGAGCGGCCGAUGUCCGAUUAGCUAGUUGGUGGGGUAAAGGCUUACCAAGGCGACGAUCGGUAGCUGGUCUGAGAGGAUGAUCAGCCACACUGGGACUGAGACACGGCCCAGACUCCUACGGGAGGCAGCAGUGGGGAAUUUUGGACAAUGGGGGCAACCCUGAUCCAGCCAUGCCGCGUGAGUGAAGAAGGCCUUCGGGUUGUAAAGCUCUUUCGGACGGAACGAAAUGGGCGGGACUAAUACUCCUGUCUGAUGACGGUACCGUAAGAAGAAGCACCGGCUAACUACGUG